UGAGCCAGCUCGGUGCGCAAUAUGGGGUCCGGGUGAAUAAGUAUCGGCGCCCGCGACCGUAGGGAUUUUUGGAGCGAAAAAUAAGGGGAGGUCUAGCCGCCGGUUAGUGAGCGACACCUCGGUGGGCGAAAGAGGGUGUGCCACCGCCACACCAUUGCGCCUCUCGACAUCGCUCUGCCCCCGAUAUUGCGUCUAGGAGUGCGGCAGGGAUCCUGAUUGCGUGUGCGUCGAGAAUCAGGAUGGUUGGGCGCUCCGGGACUUGGCGAUUGCUCGUCGGAAUUCGUCUCCCCUUGUCAAACUGUGGCAACCGUGGAUGCCUCAGGCCAACACCCUAAUUCAUGGUAAUGAUAGCCUCUUUGGAUUUCCCAUACUUCCCUCACUGUUUUUCAUUCCGCCACAUCCGCGUAAGAGCUCCGAAACGGGCAAAUUGCAUGCGCGGGGGUCACACCUGCCGCUGACCACAAUGGGCGCCGCCGUGGUGUGCUCGAUUGGGGAAGGGGAUGUUAGGGUCGGGUCAUGCACUGUCGGAUCGGGCAUCGAUGGCUCGGAUUAGAAAGGUGUUACCGAUUCAGUGGUAACGAAUCUAGGGCGUUGAUGGCAGAUUGGGCGACCCACAUUGGUUCGGGUAAAAUAAAAUCCAGACCGUCCACAUCUGAUCCUAGGGCCCCUGUUUAGUGCCGAUUCAGGUUAUGUUGUUUCUAAUCUGGUUUGUCGGUUUGUGAUCGGACGAAUGAUAUCGGCCGAUACCCCUUCGGCCGGUGGUUUUGCAAAGUAGACCUUGUGAAAAACAGAAAUAAACUCGCCAUCCAUCACGAGUUAGAUCUGAGUCUAAGGAAAUUUUAUAAUUUAGCCCCUGAGAUUCUCUCUUUUUGGCGCGCAGUCCAGAGACCAGAGAAAUCAGAUAAGUAAUUAUAGAAAUUGAUUUUUAGUAUAUAAAUAAUUCUAGAAACUUGUAUAACUCAUAUCUAAUUCAUUUUAACUCCAAAUUGAUCCAUUCUAGUGGCAUUAAUUUUGUUUUAAUAUUGCUUAUCACCUAGUAACUCUGUUUUGCCAUGAAAUUUGGAGUAAAAUUAUUCACUUGAAUUAUUCUAUACUAGGCACAUAAUAACUUCAGAAAAUUAUAACUUAAAAUCCGUAACUCCGAACUUAGUGAUUCUUAUUCCUAUGAUCUUGUUACGAUUCAUAAAUUAUUAUUAUGUAUUCUGUAUUCAUGUUUGGUGUGAUAUUAAUUUAUCCCUUGUACCAUGCUUGUUUGUAUUGUGACGAGUAGAAGAGCUAGUGGCCAAGGAUUCCGGUGUUCAGCAGGUAGAAGUUGCUGAGCAGGAGCUCAUUGAAGGCAAGUUGUGCCCUUGACCAUUUUUAUUUACCCAAUAAUGUUCUCUAUAAUCAUUUUAUCAUGCAUAGUCUUAAUUUUGAUGAGACCCAAUGGUUCAACCCUAGUCUGGUUAUCUUUUCACCUUGUUUACCCCUGAAUUUUUGGGUAGUCAAUGCUAUUGCUAUACCUGGUUUUGGGUGUUGAGAUAACAAUUACACAUGAUUGUUCUUUAUUAUUGUUCUAUUUCUGUUCAUGAUAAGACAACUAUGUAAAUUGGAACAUCGAGCUUAACUUGAGAAACACGUGCCACCACAAGGGUGGAAUGGGACGCCCUUGGCUAACUAACUAGGAAAGCUAGUGGAGGACUACCUUACCUGAUAGGGGCAAGGGCAGUAGGAGUAGGCAUGUAGGGAGGUUCCUGGGUUGAUUUUGCUGCGAUGGCGGUCAGACGGGGGAUUCCUGCAUUGCUCUUCCUAGAAACUGUAGCGGGUUUUCUGAAGCUAGUGGAACUUUGCAAAGGCCUCGUAGUGGAUCCCUAGCCAUUCACCUCGACAGUGUCUAAGGGCCUUGCAAACCUAGGCAACAUGGUAUACACGACUUGUGGGUACAGGGUACAGCCUCUGUAGAGUGUAAAACUGGUAUACUAGCCGUGCUUGCGGUCAUAAGCAGCUCAUGACUCUCGCGUGAUUAAUUUAUGUAAUUAAAUUCAAUUUAUCAUUUGCAUUGCAUGGGAUUUAUUAUUAAUUUUGAUCUACUAUUACGCUAGUUUGGUAUCUACUUACAUUUAGUAAUUACUAAUAAAACUUGACCAACUUAUUAAAAGCAAUGCUCAACUUUACCCCUUAUUUAUUGAUUAGCCUUACACUUCACAUGAGCUCCCACCUUUGGUGAGUUCAUGCACAUUAUUCCCCACAACUUGUUGAGCUAUGAUCUUUUGUGAGCUCACACUUGUGAUAUAUAAAACCCCCCAUAGGAGAAGAGCAGGUGGUCCAGGAGGAGCCGCCCUAUAAUGAAGAAUACGAGUUGAUCUAGGUGGCGUCUCCCAGUCAGUUGUAUGGCGCCAAGGAUGGACGUUUAAUUCGCUUUAUUAUUAUCAUUUAUUUUUGUAAGACUUCCGCUAUGUAAUAAUGACAUUUAUGAUAUUUGUGACAUUUAUCUCUAUACACUUUGUAAUUAUAUGUGUUGUUCUUCUUUGGCG
RNAcentral lists this long non-coding RNA (2513 nucleotides) under Zea mays. RNAcentral describes it as "long non-coding RNA (ZMAY_LNC004446)". The record is from RNAcentral. Lineage: Eukaryota; Viridiplantae; Streptophyta; Magnoliopsida; Poales; Poaceae.